UACGUAGGGGGCGAGCGUUGUCCGGAAUCAUUGGGCGUAAAGAGCUCGUAGGCGGUUCAGUAAGUCAGGUGUGAAAGCUCCGAGCUCAACUCGGAGAGGCCACCUGAUACUGCUGUGACUAGAAUCCAGUAGGGGAGUGUGGAACUCCUGGUGUAGCGGUGAAAUGCGCAGAUAUCAGGAAGAACACCAGCGGCGAAGGCGGCACUCUGGGCUGGAAUUGACGCUGAGGAAGCGAAAAGUGUGGGUAGGCAAACAGG
Molecule: ribosomal RNA, 257 nt
Filed under: uncultured bacterium
Lineage: Bacteria
Description: partial 16S ribosomal RNA
Rfam family: Bacterial small subunit ribosomal RNA
Source: RNAcentral